GCUUCAUGGCAGGCUUGGUAUCACUGGUGCUGUCCUCAAGCUCCCUUGAAGCCAGGAGAACAAGCACUGAGAGGGGAACCUGCUAUCAGUAAUGUAAGGCAGCUCAGAGCCCCUCUGUUUUUCCAGUUUCCAAUGUUUCUGAAACUGGCAGAGGAGGAAGUUGUUUCCUGGAUUGUUUUAGUACAAACCUGAUCACUUUGAUACAAACCUCUCCAUUCUGAUCAGAGCAACUCCUGAAAUUACAACAUCUAGCUUUAGGGACAGGGUAUGGGUGCAAGAACACACAUCUGGGCACAUGGUGGGUGGUUUUGAGCAGGUUUCAGCAUCAGAUUACUGUGUCUUGGACCCCAAGCUCUUCCUUCACUAGAAAUUACAGCUUCAUUUACUUGAUUCCUGUAUGUGACACUGCAAACUCCUCCACAUGGAGGAUUUACUCAGCAGGUGUGUUAGCACUGCCCCCACCUUGCAAGAUUACCCAGCCCAAGCCCACAUACAGAAGCACUCAAAACUGAGAAUUGGUUUUCUAGGUACCAGUCUUGUGUUCAAGGAAAUAAAAUGCUGCUCUUCAAUUAAAAUACUUAUUUGGGGUGCCUACACAUUACCUGUAGGUUUUAAACAGAAGACUGUUAAGGCCCUGAGCAACUCAAUCUAACUUUGAACUGAUCCCAGCUUCAAACAUGACCUUGGACCAGGUACCCCACAAGGGUCCCUGUCAAUGUUUUUCCAGUAAACCUGUUCUGUGUUGUUUUUGCUGUUGUGCUGGAUUUUGGAGGAAACUUUUUUUUAACCUCCUGUGUUCUAUUUAAAAGCUCUGCCAAAGGAGCACCGAGGAGAGCAGCCCCAGCCGUGUGAGCAAAAGCUGGACUGGGACCUGCCUGCGCUGGGGUUUGUGCACAGGGUGACAUCAAAUCCAGCAGGGGGCUUCAGUCCCAGACUCCCCAGAGCUGGAGUGUGAAAGGCCUCUGUUGGUUUGUGUGGUGCUGACCCAGCGGCAGCGAGCAAAGGAGCACCAAGAGCAGUGACUGCAAGGGAGCCAUAAAGAAAAACUCCCUCAUCCCAAACCUUGAGGGACCAUCUCUCAUUCUGGCCAGAAGUACCUGAGCUAAGGAAGUCUUUUCUCCCUGGUACUGAAGUCUUUAGCCCAGAACUGUGAGCUUCUGUCCAGCAGAGGAGACUGGAAAAAAUUGCAUUCAAAUUUUUUCCUAGUUGUGCUGGCAUGUGCUCUCCUAGGCUGGCCUCUGGUCAGGGUUCAGAGGUAAAAAUGGCCUUAUUCCAGUGUUUAACUUAAAGAUGGCAAUCAUCUGUCAGAUGGCAUUAUUUGUGUGCAUUUCUUGAAGCCCUUCUGAGCAGAAGCUUGUGUGUCUUCCAGGACUGUGGCAGGGCCCAGGUUGUUACAUCUUGCUAAUUAACUGUUUGAUAAUUAUAAAUAUGACUUGCUCAUUAUUUGUACUAAGUCUGUUGUUCUAGUCUGAUGUUUAAUGUACACUGCCCUUAACACAAAAGAGACAGUUAAGAAUGAGUUGUUCUGAUGCUUUUAUGGCCUAUUUAUUUUAGUAAUGUGAAAUAAUUUUAUUUAUAAACCAGAGAAGAAUGCUGAUGAAGAAAUAAUUCUCUGGAUAGCUGACAUUGCCAAUUUAAAUGUCUUUAAAGCUUAAUCAAGAUUUAUUUUUGAAAAAUUUGAGAAUGGAUCAAUUCUAGGCAGUAUCCUGGUUUGCUGUGUAUAUGAACAGUAUUUGUUACCUAGAUAGUGCCUCACAGCCACUGUACUAUUUAACAUUUAAAUGUCUUUAAAGACCAGAUUCCAUUAAUUCUUUACAUUUCCCUGAAUUUCUCUGCAAUUCCCUGUUUGCCAGUCCUUUGCAGAGACAACUCCCUCAGCCUCUCAUGGAAACCAUGGCUUCUCCAGUGCAUGGGCUCCUCCACACAAUGCACACAUGCAGAGCCCUGUGUCCCUGCAGAGCUGCAGACAGAGCCAGGGGAAAUUACAGUCUCAUAGAGACUUAUCUCAUCAGUGCAAAAGAACUAUAACACAUUGCAGAAAGCUGAAAGCCACUCUUAGCACACCUAUACAUAAGAAACCUUAUGUGUAUUCUAUUCCUAGCACUCAGGACUGUUUUCCAGUUGUCACACACAGAGGUGCUGUGCAUACCCAGAGGUAGCAGAAGUAGUAUUCUUAAUUUGUUAUUGAUUACUUGAUGGCUCCCUAUUUAAUCAGUCAUGUAUUUGUCAGUGGAACAUAAUUGCUGAACACAAGUAGCUCUUCAGGGAAUAAACCAUAAUACCCCAAAAGGAA
Molecule: long non-coding RNA, 2293 nt
Organism: Parus major (Great Tit)
Lineage: Eukaryota; Metazoa; Chordata; Aves; Passeriformes; Paridae
Exons: 2
Source: RefSeq, a predicted model, not a curated record